GCAGGUGUAGCUCAGGGGUAGAGCACAACCUUGCCAAGGUUGGGGUCGCGAGUUCGAAUCUCGUCACCUGCUCCA
This 75-nucleotide transfer RNA is filed under the name Alphaproteobacteria bacterium. Its description in RNAcentral is "tRNA-Gly". It matches the Rfam family "tRNA". From Rfam's summary of the family: Transfer RNA (tRNA) molecules are approximately 80 nucleotides in length. Their secondary structure includes four short double-helical elements and three loops (D, anti-codon, and T loops). The record is from RNAcentral. Lineage: Bacteria; Pseudomonadati; Pseudomonadota; Alphaproteobacteria. RNAcentral also lists the same sequence under 1 other name.